CCUACGGGUGGCGGCAGUGAGGAAUAUUGGUCAAUGGUCGGGAGACUGAACCAGCCAAGCCGCGUGAGGGAUGAAGGUACAGAGUAUCGUAAACCUCUUUUGUAAGGGCACAAAGGCGGGGCCGUGUCCACGGAUGAGUGUACCUGAAGAAACAGAAUCGGCUAACUCCGUGACAGCAGCCGAGGUAAUACGGAGGAGGCGAGCGUUAUCCGGAUUUAUUGGGUUAAAGGGUGCGCUGGUGGUCUUUUAAGUCAUCGGUCAAAGCCCGGGGCCCAACCCCGGCCCGCCGUUGAAACUGGCAGUCUCGAGUUGGUGAGAAGUAUGCGGAAUGCGCGGUGUAGCGGUGAAAUGCAUAGAUAUCGCGCAGAACUCCGAUUGCGAAGGCAGCAUGCCGGCUCCACACUGACGCUGAGGCACGAAAGCGUGGGUAUCGAACAGGAUUAGAUACCCCUGUAGU
This 457-nucleotide ribosomal RNA is filed under the name uncultured bacterium. Its description in RNAcentral is "partial 16S ribosomal RNA". It matches the Rfam family "Bacterial small subunit ribosomal RNA", at positions 338 to 794 of the family's 1533-position model. The record is from RNAcentral.